Long non-coding RNA from Dalotia coriaria, 284 nucleotides. RefSeq lists it as uncharacterized. The transcript is spliced from 2 exons. The record is from RefSeq and is a predicted model, not a curated record. NCBI's taxonomy places the organism in Eukaryota, Metazoa, Arthropoda, Insecta, Coleoptera, Staphylinidae.
ACAAUGAAGCUGUUACAUUUAGUGAUGAUCUUCGGUGUGCUCGCGUGUAGUUUUGCAUCUCCUACACCGGUAGAAGACGAAAAUCAAGACGCAGAUGAAAGCAAUCAAGGGAAGUUCUUGAACGUCUUCUGCACCCCUGCAUGGUGUCGCAGUUUCUGUGUGAGGCAAGGAUAUGCAGGAUGCGUUUGUACCGGCCUUCAUUCAUUUCAGUGUGUCCGAUAGAAUCAGAUAACAUGAAAUAAAAGUGCAACCGAUUGAUUAAAAUUAAAAAUUUCAGACAAUAA